UGACAAAAUUGUUGAAAUUUAGCAGA
This 26-nucleotide non-coding RNA is filed under the name Mus musculus (house mouse). The record is from RNAcentral. Lineage: Eukaryota; Metazoa; Chordata; Mammalia; Rodentia; Muridae.